CCUACGGGUUGCACCAGUGGGGAAUAUUGCACAAUGGGCGCAAGCCUGAUGCAGCCAUGCCGCGUGUAUGAAGAAGGCCUUCGGGUUGUAAAGUACUUUCAGCGGGGAGGAAGGCGAUAAGGUUAAUAACUUUGUCGAUCGACGUUACCCGCAGAAGAAGCACCGGCUAACUCCGUGCCAGCAGCCGCGGUAAUACGGAGGGUGCAAGGGUUAAUCGGAAUUACUGGGCGCAAAGCGCACGCAGGCGGUCUGUCAAGUCGGAUGUGAAAUCCCCGGGCUCAACCUGGGUACUGCAUUCGAAACUGGCAGGCUUGAGUCUUGUAGAGGGGGGUAGAAUUCCAGGUGUAGCGGUGAAAUGCGUAGAGAUCUGGAGGAAUACCGGUGGCGAAGGCGGCCCCCUGGACAAAGACUGACGCUCAGGUGCGAAAGCGUGGGGAGCAAACAGGAUUAGAUACCCCUGUAGUC
RNAcentral lists this ribosomal RNA (465 nucleotides) under uncultured bacterium. RNAcentral's name for it is "bacterial SSU rRNA". It matches the Rfam family "Bacterial small subunit ribosomal RNA", at positions 338 to 795 of the family's 1533-position model. The record is from RNAcentral.